Molecule: long non-coding RNA, 3344 nt
Filed under: Heterocephalus glaber (naked mole-rat)
Lineage: Eukaryota; Metazoa; Chordata; Mammalia; Rodentia; Bathyergidae
Description: lncRNA (ENSHGLG00000037155.1)
Source: RNAcentral
GAGUGACCUGCCAUGUGGCUAUGAGGCUGAGGACCAGGCCAAGAUUUUCCCUCUCCACCAAGAGACAGCAGCCAGCUAAUCUCCCACAGGACGAUGGCUGCAUACUUUUGCCUUUCAGGUAGCCCCAGGGCACUUCUCCUGACCAGCCUCCUAUGGCCCCCUUUCUUGCCCACACCUCUUUGGUUCCCUUUUAUUUUUUUAACCAUCUAAAGACUUACUCAGCUCCUGCCUUCCCCUGCUGGGGGGAUACAUCUGUGCUGCCCUGUGUGUUCUGAACACUCUGACCGCUGACCUCUCUUUGUUCCCUAAAGCUUUCCCUUUGGCUAUUGUAGUAACCAUAGUGCUGCUUUCUGCCACUAGGGGUCACUGCCAUACGUCAAAAGAAGUGAGCAAGAGCUACUGUCCAUCUACCACAAACACGUUAUAGACCAGUGAUAGCAAACCUAUAGGCUGCAGCAGGCUGUUUGUAUCAUUGAAAGCUCUAAAAGUUUCUAAGAGGGACUGAGGCCUCUUCUCUCAGCAUGCUGCCAACCUGUGGUCUCUGAUACUAACUCCCUCCCCAGCCCCUGUUGUUGGACUGUACUGUUGGAUGUCUUCUCUUACUUACUCUGUAUUUCUUUGUACUCUGUAUCUAUAUAUCAGAAGCUGCUGCUAUGUUUCUCCUCUCUGUCCCGCUCUCUAAGUAUUUAAUAAUGUAUUUAGCAAUUUCUAAGCAUAGUCUACCCUCCUCAUUUGGGACAAUAGAGAGGAGGGGAAAUGUUUCUGCUUUCUCUCAUACACUCUUCUCUCACACUGAGUGAUGUUAAUCACUGAGCAGAGGUCACAGAGAUGAUAAAGAAGAAAUGGGAACUGGAGGGCUAUGAUCCUUCUGUCUCUCACACACAUCCACACAUAUACACAUGUACAUACAAAGCCUUAAGUAGAAGAAUGUCAGCACCCUCAGAAGACAGAAAUAUAUUCUUCCUUCCUCCUUUUUGCGUGAAUAAUACAGAGGAGGGUGAAAUGGAAGGGCUUCUAAAUUAUAUACAAAUAAUUUUCUUCAUACACCUCUCACCCGAAUCAAGAGAUCCCAGGUAUUUACCUCUGUCCUACAGAGUCUGCCUUUUGCCUCCUUCUCCCUGUUUUUCCCUGGACUGAGAAACAUGGAUUGUUCAAGGGAGGUUUCCUUUUCUCGUCCAAGGCCCUUUUAAUACUCUGUAUCCUAGAUCUCAUGACUAGAACUCAGAGUUGAUUAAAGAUAUUUUGAAGAAAUGAGACAGACCCCUCCCAAUAACCUGUCAAAUGGCUGCUCAUCUGUGGUGAUAGUAACAGGCAAGUGUCAUCAGAAUGAUUGAUUCCUUGGGUCUAGAGAAAUGAACUAGCUGGAAGUUGCUAAGUGUUUUUGUUUGUUUUUUUCUUUUUGUCACAGUACCCUCAGGUUGAAGGCAAUGAGCUGGAUUUCUUUCUCCCAUAUUGGGUCUCAUGUUCUUCCUUUCUCUGCCUUUUGGUUUGGGGCUUCCAGUUCAUUGGCAAAAUAGCUCUCUCUAGAUGCUUUUCUUUCAAGCUGGAGCCUGGCUUUUCCCAGAAUACAUUUACCUCCACAAAGAGUUCCUUGUAUAAUGUCCCCAUCUGGUAUUAAGUGCACUUUAAAGAAAGGGCCAGGGCAGAUUUUCCAGGGGUGGUGGAGCCCAAGGGCUUGACCCCAGCCAUUCUCAGCCCUGCACCCCCUCUCUUAUAGUUGAGUGGACUGUUGCUUUAGUUCCACAUGGCCCUUUCCUUCCACUUGGUGCUAAGGUGGUUUUCCAGGUAAAUGCACUGAUGAAGAUCACUAGCCAGUUCAAACCAAGAAUUCCAGUGCCCAGAUACCAGUUUUAUUUAGCACAAAAGACCUGGAUCUGGCUGGGUAUGGUGGUGCACACUUGUAAUCCCAGCACUUGGGAGACUGAGGCAAGAGGGUUGCAAGUUCGAGGCCAGCCUGGACUACAUAGUGAGUCCAGGGCCAGCCUACAUAGCGAGACCCUGUCUCAAAAAAUAAAUAAAUAAAUAAAUAAAUAAAUAAAUGAAUGAAUGAAUGAAAAGACCUGGAUCCUCCAACAGCAGGGCAGUUCAUCCAUCACCUGACUUCCUCUAAGUUAGGAAAGCAAGCUCAGUCUGAGUGCAGCUGGCAAAUGCUGGACAUCAUACCCUGUGAUGCCUCCCAGUGAAAAAGCCCUACUUUCUUUACCUGUUGAGUCCUUUUUUGGAAGUUAAGGAGAAAAAACAAGGGAAAAAAUACCAGAGGGGUGUGGAAUAAAUCCAAAGUAGUAAUUUUCAAAUACUUAAAAUAAAUAUUAUAUAGAGUCCUGAUAUAAAAUAUAACAUUGUAGACCUGGGUAGUUUGCAUUUUCUUUUUCUGGUGGAAUAUGCUUCAUUAGUUAAGGAUCCUGUGAAGAGUCCAAAGACACCUUGAGGGUUCUACAGAAUAGUUUGACAAUCACUGCUCUGAGGAAGGAGGUCCAGUCUGGCUGUCCUACAUCGGCAACUCACAGGAUAGAGGAUUGGGGUGGUACAGAUGAACCGUGCUCAGACCCAUUGGCGAAUAAGGAAGACACCAGCACACCCAUAGACUUAAGCUAGUAUUUGCCAACAGGACAUCUAAGAAUUCAGAAUUCAGGGGGCUUCUGUAAUCUUGCCAAAAAAUGAUUUUUUUUUUGAGACAGGGUCUCAUUAUGUAGUUCAGACUGGCCUUGAACUCACAGUGAUCCUCCUGCCUCAGCCUUCCAAGCACUGGGAUUAUAGGUGUGCACCACCACACCUGGUUCCAAAUGAUUCUUUGGUUGAUUUUUUUUUUUUUUCCGUACGGGAUUGAAUUCGGGUCCUUGCACUUGCAAGGCAGGCGGUGAAACCACUGAGUUAAAUCCUGGCCCUCCAAAUGAUUCUUUAAAACAAUGUAUAAGAAAAUGUGAAAGUGUAGGGCAGAUGAAGAGAGAGGUGACACAGAAGAAGCAGCCUGCUCUUUAGCAAGAUGUAAGGGAAAUAUAAUUCACUUGCAGAAAUAAAAAACAACACACACACAAUCCUUCACCAGAAGCUUCAUACUACAUCCUCUUCUUCCUGUUCCCUACAUCACGUCCCUUACAGAGAGCCAGGAUCACCACAAGGGGUACCUGGCCUGCCCACUCACAUCUGACAAAAUGUUGCAUGCCAGCGCGGAAAACAAACCAAACUGCACAAACCCCAGUGUGUAUUUACUUGGUGUACAUAGAUAUCUUUAAAAUAAAAUAAAUUCAAUGAUAACUUUAUGUUGUUGUAAAUCUUCUUUAUCCCUCCCUGAUCUCACUCCCUUCUUUGUAUGUAGUGGCACUUAAUAGUGUGGUAAAUAUCCU